Coregonus clupeaformis (lake whitefish) is the source of this 385-nucleotide long non-coding RNA. RefSeq lists it as uncharacterized. The record is from RefSeq and is a predicted model, not a curated record. NCBI's taxonomy places the organism in Eukaryota, Metazoa, Chordata, Actinopteri, Salmoniformes, Salmonidae. The transcript has 4 exons.
UACCAAAGAAGAAGAACACAUGGAAUUAUCAUAUUCUUUCCGAAGUUUUCUGAGAGGGGUUUGCUGGUUUCAUUUGAUGUUAUUCUGCCCAGGUCAUCAACACAGCGCUGGUUAAUAGUUUAUGCUGCUCAUGGUUUGCGUGGACUGUCUUGUCGUUUAGGAAGAACUAUCCUCGUUUCCUCAUUACCAUACGAAAGUGGCAUCAUUGUUUGUGCUGGUGGCAGAAUAGUACUGUGCUGUUGCCAUGGGAGAUAGAGCAAAGAAACAACAUCUACUGGACCAAUUUUUGAAGAAGACUUCUCGUCCAAGUAACACUUCAAACAACCAACAAGAAACUCCUGGCCAAUCUCCAGGAGCUGAUGCCAAGCUCCCAUUCUAAAGCUCC